UACGGAGGGUGCAAGCGUUAUCCGGAUUCACUGGGUUUAAAGGGUGCGUAGGCGGGCAGGUAAGUCCGUGGUGAAAUCUCUGAGCUUAACUCAGAAACUGCCAUGGAUACUAUUUGUCUUGAAUAUUGUGGAGGUAAGCGGAAUAUGUCAUGUAGCGGUGAAAUGCUUAGAUAUGACAUAGAACACCAAUUGCGAAGGCAGCUUGCUACAGGGAUAUUGACACUGAGGCACGAAAGCGUGGGGAUCAAACAGG
Molecule: ribosomal RNA, 253 nt
Filed under: uncultured bacterium
Lineage: Bacteria
Description: partial 16S ribosomal RNA
Rfam family: Bacterial small subunit ribosomal RNA
Source: RNAcentral